AUUGAACGCUGGCGGCAGGCCUAACCCAUGCAAGUCGAGCGGAGCGGCGGACGGCUGAGUAAUGCCUAGGAGUCUGCCUCGUAGUGGGGGAUAACGUCCGGUAACGGGCGCUAAUACCGCAUCCUAUCAGCUGAGCCUAGCUAGGAUUAGCUAGUUGUUGGGGUAAAGGCCUACCAAGGCGACGAUCCGUAACUGGUCUGAGAGGAUGAUCAGACACACUGGAACUGAGACACGGUCCAGACUCCUACGGGAGGCAGCAGUGGGGAAUAUUGGACAAUGGGCGAAAGCCUGAUCCAGCCAUGCCGCGUGUGUGAAGAAGGUCUUCGGAUUGUAAAGCACUUUAAGCUGGGAGGCGUUACCCGCAGAAUAAGCACCGGCUAACUUCGUGCCAGCAGCCGCGGUAAUUC
Molecule: ribosomal RNA, 407 nt
Filed under: uncultured bacterium
Lineage: Bacteria
Description: partial 16S ribosomal RNA
Rfam family: Bacterial small subunit ribosomal RNA
Source: RNAcentral